This 253-nucleotide ribosomal RNA is filed under the name uncultured bacterium. Its description in RNAcentral is "partial 16S ribosomal RNA". It matches the Rfam family "Bacterial small subunit ribosomal RNA", at positions 524 to 776 of the family's 1533-position model. The record is from RNAcentral.
CACGUAGGAGGCGAGCGUUGUCCGGAAUCAUUGGGCGUAAAGAGCGCGCAGGCGGCUUGGCAAGUCGGGUGUGAAAUCCCGGGGCUCAACCCCGGGACUGCAUUCGAUACUGUCAGGCUAGAGGUAGGUAGGGGAGAUCGGAAUUCCUGGUGUAGCGGUGAAAUGCGCAGAUAUCAGGAGGAACACCGGUGGCGAAGGCGGAUCUCUGGGCCUUACCUGACGCUCAGGCGCGAAAGCCAGGGGAGCAAACGGG